Non-coding RNA from Rattus norvegicus (Norway rat), 2707 nucleotides. NCBI's taxonomy places the organism in Eukaryota, Metazoa, Chordata, Mammalia, Rodentia, Muridae. The record is from RefSeq and is a predicted model, not a curated record.
ACAGAACUCUCCUGACCUAGGUCAUUAGCCUAAGGCAGAUUUACUCAAGUCUGCCUGACACCAGAGCCCAGUCUCUCAACCACUAAACAAAACUGGCCUUCCAGUAGGUCAGGCCCUGUGUGCCCCUCCAGUAUAACUUUCCCUCGAGGGUGUAGUCCCUGUUUACUCUAGGAGUGUGUCACUGGCUGCAGCUCUUGAGAGCAAUGCCAGACUGUGGCUGGGGCUUUCUGCUCUUGGACAAAGAAUGAAGGUGACUCAGCCGAUUGCUUUUCUACAGCGUGGAGGACUGGGACCCCCAACAUCUAAGGAAAAGAAUGCAGUCAAGUUUGUCCCAUACGCUCCUUGUGCCCUUAGGCUGAGCUGGACUCUAAAGAUGACCUCCUCAAACCCCACUAUUUGCUGCAGGGGAAGUCAAGAAACUAAGAAGCUCAGUGAUUUGUCCGAGGGUGCAUCCCUAUUUGAGGGCUGUAGAUUGUCAGGAAUUUCUGAAGAUAGAAAUGCGCGUCAGAAGACAAAUUCUCCCUUUUUUUCAAGAGCCCAGAGCACAUUUGCCUCGUUUUUCCGAAGCAGGUCUCAGCCUUCAUGCAAGGUGGAUCUGCGAGGGGAAAUGGGGAGAAAAAUUCCAGGCCAAGGAAAGCUAGGAGGAAAGUUGUGCUAUUGUUCAAGUCCAGAGGAAAAUGAGGGAAGGACAGGGCAACAAGAAGGUAAGGGUCCUUCCCAACCCUCAUAUACCUCAUCUCAUCUGUUCCUCUCAAUAGAAGACAUGGUGCCUACCCGGAAAGCAACUGCUGGUCCUCGGUGGCUGCUGUGCUGGGCCCAUGGACUGGUCGCUGAUCUAAGCACAGCACUGCUGGGAAUUGUUCAAUUCCAAGCCGUCUCUUAUUUCUCCUUCUAAGAGCACUAUGCUGUGUCAUAUAUAAGCUCCCCCCCGAUUCUUCCCCCUCAUCCCCUUUCCUUCUCCAGAAAAUGAAGAUAACAAUUCUAUUAUUGUAGAGUGAUUGUAGGCAUUUAACAAGAUUCUCCUAAAUGUAAAUCACCCUGCACAGCAUUGGCCCACAGCAGGAACUCAAGUGGUUCAUUUCAGGCACCCAGGACUGCUGGUGACACUCAGCAUCCCUGGUCCUGAGCAAACCUCGUGGCUGACCGUUCAGAGCCUCCAGAACACUGAGCUAACUGAUUCAAUGAAUAAAGCAGAAAACAAACCAAACGGGAGAGGAGAGCGCAACACACAGGUGGGCAUCCUGCCCCCAUCCACUUAUUUUCUUUAGAAAGUCUAUUUCGAGGGAUGUCAAUGAUCUUACCUGAAGCAGAGAAGAGAAUGGGGGGUUUUCCCACUUUAACAUUUGUGAGGACAUCUUUCCUUACCUUGCUCUGUGCUAAAAAUGCAGAAAUAUAAAUAGUGAUGUAAACAGGCAGGUUUUACUCUGUGUACCGCUUUGAAAACCGAUUUCUACUUGCUUAAUACCUCAUUAAGGGCCAAUCCUUCUCUUCUCUGCCAUGAUCCACUCUCAAGGGAGUGGACAGUCCCACAAGAAUGACAUUAAGUCUUUCAGAAGGCAAUGUCCUGGUGAUCUAGUUAAUGUCCACAAGGCAGUACUUCUUAAUUCUGACAGACAGAGGUCCCAGGUACCAACAGGAACCUCUGGGAGACAUACUUUUAGCAUAUGCAGACCUGUGGAAAGCUGCAAUAACAUUCGCCAUUACAAGAUGGCGCUGGCUUCCGCUGCACCAGCCCGACUUCUUUUCAGGAAACUAGCUGUGUGCGCAUGUGCAAGAGUGUGUUCGCGCCAAGUCUUUGCCCACCCCGGGGCGUGCCAGUGAGAUCAUGGGUAAGCAACCAAUCAGGCGUGGACAUGCCGUGCUAGGGUUGUAUUUAUUUAUUUAUUUAUUUAUUUAUUUAUUUAUUUUCUUUCUUUCGGAGCUGGGGAUCGAACCCAGGGCCUUGCGGUUGCUAGGCAAGCGCCCUACCACUGAGCCAAAUCCCCAACCCCCGUGCUAGGGUUUUAUAAGCAGCGCCUUUCUGGGCCCCGGUCUCUCCUCUUCAAGAUGUAAUAAACGCUUUGCUGCAGAAGGAUCCUGGUGUCCACGAGUGUUCUUGCUGGCGAGAUGAUAGCGCGGGACACAGACCCACAGAUAUAAACUAACCAAGAAACAAGAGGAGAAGAUGGCAGUGGAUGUCAGGCACUAGGAGAGGACGGGACAGAUGGCAAUGGAUGUCAGGCACUAGGAGAGGGAUGGGACAGUUGGCAAUGGGUGGGUGCAGGGUACUUCUUUAGAAGGGAGGGACAAGAAACAAAAUAUGUUACAAAGGCAGCCAUGAAAGGACCACUAAAGAAUGUUCUAGAAGAAACAAGAGCAAGCACAGAGGAGGUGAGAAAGCACCGUGGUGUCAGAGGCACUGCAAGGGGACAGGAGACUGCUGGAAAGCAGUUCCCACUGAAGAGUUGGCCAGGGUCUGGGUGAAGUGGCCACAGUAAGAGGGUUGAACUUUCUUACAACCGAGUGGGAGCUCAUUGCAGAGAUCCAAGCAACAUGGGUGAAAUUUCAUUUUUAAAAGACUUCCUGUGGAAAUGAAAUCAUACAGGAGUACAACUAGUUGGAGAACGGUCUAAUGAUUUUUAUAUUAAAUCAUACAGAACUUAAUAACCCAAUGAUGUGCUCCUAAAAAUAUCCCUCCCAGAGGUGCAUAUAUAAUGGAGUGUUUAAA